AAACUAUUGUUCCUGUUUCACACAGAAGAAAACUGAGGUUGGCACUCAUGAUGAGCCCCUGUUCUCAUUCUGCAAAUGGUGAAGCUCUCUAUUGUCCUGACCCCACAGUUCCUGUCCCAUGAGCAGGGCCAGCUCACCAAGGAGCUGCAGCAGCACGUAAAGUCAGUGACAUGCCCAUGCGAGUACCUGAGGAAG
RNAcentral lists this small RNA (195 nucleotides) under Pan troglodytes (chimpanzee). RNAcentral's name for it is "processed transcript". The record is from RNAcentral. Lineage: Eukaryota; Metazoa; Chordata; Mammalia; Primates; Hominidae.